Molecule: long non-coding RNA, 215 nt
Filed under: Elaeis guineensis (African oil palm)
Lineage: Eukaryota; Viridiplantae; Streptophyta; Magnoliopsida; Arecales; Arecaceae
Description: long non-coding RNA (EGUI_LNC019500)
Source: RNAcentral
CAAGUACGAGACUGCAGGAAGGUGAGUGGCAAAAGCAGAUGAGGUAGGGGGCGGCGGUGGGCUACGAGAAGACGAGCGGCGAAGGCGGAGGAGGAAGAGGGCCGCAGGCCUGAGUAGCAAUGGUGGGGCUGCAGAAAAUUGAACGAUAGAACUGGAGGAGGAAGGGGGCGGCAAUCUGAGCGACAGUGGUGUAGCUGUGGGAAGGCUGGUGGUGG